ACGGUACCUAACCAGAAAGCCACGGCUAACUACGUGCCAGCAGCCGCGGUAAUACGUAGGUGGCAAGCGUUGCCCGGAAUUAUUGGGCGUAAAGGGCUCGCAGGCGGUUUCUUAAGUCUGAUGUGAAAGCCCCCGGCUCAACCGGGGAGGGUCAUUGGAAACUGGGGAACUUGAGUGCAGAAGAGGAGAGUGGAAUUCCACGUGUAGCGGUGAAAUGCGUAGAGAUGUGGAGGAACACCAGUGGCGAAGGCGACUCUCUGGUCUGUAACUGACGCUGAGGAGCGAAAGCGUGGGGAGCGAACAGGAUUAGAUACCCUGGUAGUCCACGCCGUAAACGAUGAGUGCUAAGUGUUAGGGGGUUUCCGCCCCUUAGUGCUGCAGCUAACGCAUUAAGCACUCCGCCUGGGGAGUACGGUCGCAAGACUGAAACUCAAAGGAAUUGACGGGGGGCCCGCACAAGCGGUGGAGCAUGUGGUUUAAUUCGAAGCAACGCGAAGAACCUUACCAGGUCUUGACAUCCUCUGACAAUCCUAGAGAUAGGACGUCCCCUUCGG
RNAcentral lists this ribosomal RNA (554 nucleotides) under uncultured bacterium. Its description in RNAcentral is "bacterial SSU rRNA". It matches the Rfam family "Bacterial small subunit ribosomal RNA", at positions 472 to 1023 of the family's 1533-position model. The record is from RNAcentral.